RNAcentral lists this ribosomal RNA (629 nucleotides) under uncultured bacterium. RNAcentral's name for it is "bacterial SSU rRNA". It matches the Rfam family "Bacterial small subunit ribosomal RNA", at positions 56 to 683 of the family's 1533-position model. The record is from RNAcentral.
UGCAGUCGAACGGUAACAUUUCUAGCUUGCUAGAAGAUGACGAGUGGCGGACGGGUGAGUAAUACUUAGGAAUAUGCCUUUGUGUGGGGGAUAACUAUUGGAAACGAUAGCUAAUACCGCAUAACGUCUUUGGACCAAAGGGGGCUCCGGCUCCCGCGCAAAGAGUAGCCUAAGCGAGAUUAGCUUGUUGGUGAGGUAAAGGCUCACCAAGGCGACGAUCUCUAGCUGUUCUGAGAGGAAGAUCAGCCACACUGGAACUGAGACACGGUCCAGACUCCUACGGGAGGCAGCAGUGGGGAAUAUUGCACAAUGGGGGGAACCCUGAUGCAGCCAUGCCGCGUGUGUGAAGAAGGCCUUCGGGUUGUAAAGCACUUUCAGUUGUGAGGAAAGGUUAACGGUUAAUACCCGUUAGCUGUGACGUUAGCAACAGAAGAAGGACCGGCUAACUCCGUGCCAGCAGCCGCGGUAAUACGGAGGGUCCGAGCGUUAAUCGGAAUUACUGGGCGUAAAGCGCACGCAGGCGGUUUGUUAAGCUAGAUGUGAAAGCCCUGGGCUCAACCUGGGAAUUGCAUUUAGAACUGGCAGGCUAGAGUUUUGGAGAGGGGAGUGGAAUUCCAGGUGUAGCGGUG